This 207-nucleotide ribosomal RNA is filed under the name uncultured bacterium. RNAcentral describes it as "partial 16S ribosomal RNA". It matches the Rfam family "Bacterial small subunit ribosomal RNA", at positions 568 to 774 of the family's 1533-position model. The record is from RNAcentral.
CGCGUAGGCGGCCUGGUAAGUAGGAGGUGAAAUCCUGCGGCUUAACCGCAGGGCUGCCUUCUAAACUGUCAGGCUCGAGCACAGUAGAGGCAGGUGGAAUUCCCGGUGUAGCGGUGGAAUGCGUAGAGAUCGGGAAGAACAUCAGUGGCGAAGGCGGCCUGCUGGGCUGUUGCUGACGCUGAGGCGCGACAGCGUGGGGAGCAAACA